UCAAAUUCAAGGAGUAUAUUUUAGCUUUCCAAAAAGAUAUAAUUCCUGGGAUUGAUUGUUUAUUAUAGACAAGAAGUCUGUUCAAGCAGUCAGUUGUUGGGAGUUAUUAAAAACACUUAUCUGUCAAAAUGAUAACAAUUUUUUAACACUGAUGUAGACUUAAAUAUAUCUGACGGCACGUUUGUUUAAUUGGA
Episyrphus balteatus (marmalade hoverfly) is the source of this 194-nucleotide long non-coding RNA. RefSeq lists it as uncharacterized. Lineage: Eukaryota; Metazoa; Arthropoda; Insecta; Diptera; Syrphidae. The transcript has 2 exons. The record is from RefSeq and is a predicted model, not a curated record.